GCGGAAGUGGUGGAAUUGGCAGACACGCUGGUUUUAGGUACCAGUGCUCCGGCGUGCGGGUUCGAGUCCCGCCUUCCGCA
This 80-nucleotide transfer RNA is filed under the name Branchiibius sp. NY16-3462-2. It matches the Rfam family "tRNA". From Rfam's summary of the family: Transfer RNA (tRNA) molecules are approximately 80 nucleotides in length. Lineage: Bacteria; Bacillati; Actinomycetota; Actinomycetes; Micrococcales; Dermacoccaceae. The record is from Rfam by way of RNAcentral.